Molecule: long non-coding RNA, 252 nt
Filed under: Trifolium pratense (red clover)
Lineage: Eukaryota; Viridiplantae; Streptophyta; Magnoliopsida; Fabales; Fabaceae
Description: long non-coding RNA (TPRA_LNC000175)
Source: RNAcentral
UAACUACUACAAGAUACAUAAGCAUCAACCUCAAAGAAUUAAUAGCCUUUUGGAACAUAAGAACAACAAGAAUUACGGUCAAUGCUCUCUUUGCUUACAAACAAAAAACAGUCAAUACUCUCAGAAAUUGUGUUCUAAAGCUUGAAAAUCAAGUCAUGGUAAAAGUGAAGUUAGAUAAAUUCUAUAAUAUCUUGCAGUUAGGACUUAGGAUGUAAACAAGUAAUUUCUACAAAGCUAACUAUUGAGUAAAUG